GACGAACGCUGGCGGCGUGCCUAAUACAUGCAAGUUGAGCGAUGAAGAUUGGUGCUUGCACCAAUUUGAAGAGCAGCGAACGGGUGAGUAACGCGUGGGGAAUCUGCCUUUGAGCGGGGGGCAACAUUUGGAAACGAAUGCUAAUACCGCAUAACAACUUUAAACAUAAGUUUUAAGUUUGAAAGAUGCAAUUGCAUCACUCAAAGAUGAUCCCGCGUUGUAUUAGCUAGUUGGUGAGGUAAAGGCUCACCAAGGCGAUGAUACAUAGCCGACCUGAGAGGGUGAUCGGCCACAUUGGGACUGAGACACGGCCCAAACUCCUACGGGAGGCAGCAGUAGGGAAUCUUCGGCAAUGGACGAAAGUCUGACCGAGCAACGCCGCGUGAGUGAAGAAGGUUUUCGGAUCGUAAAACUCUGUUGGUAGAGAAGAACGUUGGUGAGAGUGGAAAGCUCAUCAAGUGACGGUAACUACCCAGAAAGGGACGGCUAACUACAUG
This 497-nucleotide ribosomal RNA is filed under the name uncultured bacterium. RNAcentral's name for it is "partial 16S ribosomal RNA". It matches the Rfam family "Bacterial small subunit ribosomal RNA", at positions 28 to 507 of the family's 1533-position model. The record is from RNAcentral.